AUUGAACGCUGGCGGCAGGCCUAACACAUGCAAGUCGAACGGUAACAGGAAGAAGCUUGCUUCUUUGCUGACGAGGGGCGGACGGGUGAGUAAUGACCGGGAAACUGCCUGAUGGAGGGGGAUAACAACUGGAAACGGUAGCUAAUACCGAAUAACGUCGCAAGACCAAAGUGGGGGGCAUUCGGGCCUCUUGCCAUCGGAUGUGCCCAGAUGGGAUUAGCUAGGAGGGGGGGUAACGGCUCACCUUGGCGACGUUCCCUAGCUGGUCUGAGAGGAGUACCAGCCACACUGGAACUGAGACACGGUCCAGACUCCUACGGGGGGCAGCAGUGGGGAAUAUUGCACAAGGGGCGCAGCCUGAUGCAGCCAUGCCGCGUGGAUGAAGAAGGCCUUCGGGUUGUAAAGUACUUUCAGCGGGGAGGAAGGGAGUAAAGUUAAUACCUUUGCUCAUUGACGUUACCCGCAGAAGAAGCACCGGCUAACUCCGU
RNAcentral lists this ribosomal RNA (488 nucleotides) under uncultured bacterium. Its description in RNAcentral is "partial 16S ribosomal RNA". It matches the Rfam family "Bacterial small subunit ribosomal RNA", at positions 30 to 506 of the family's 1533-position model. The record is from RNAcentral.